This 628-nucleotide ribosomal RNA is filed under the name Candidatus Zambryskiibacteriota bacterium. Its description in RNAcentral is "bacterial SSU rRNA". It matches the Rfam family "Bacterial small subunit ribosomal RNA", at positions 880 to 1442 of the family's 1533-position model. Lineage: Bacteria; Candidatus Zambryskiibacteriota. The record is from RNAcentral.
GUACGGCCGCAAGGCUAAAACUCAAAGGAAUAGACGGGGACUUGCACAAGCAGUGGAUUAUGCGGUUUAAUUCGUAGGUAAACGAAGAACCUUACCAAGGUUAGAAACCCAGCACAUAAUGCCGUCUCAGAAAUGAGCAGAAUACCGAAAGGUAUGUGCUGGACAGGUGAUGCAUGGCCGUCGUCAGUUCGUGGUUUGAGCUGUUCCCUUAAGUGGGGUAACGAACGCAACCCUCGUUGCCAGUUAUAAGUGUCUGGCGAGACUGCCCCGAUUUAAGUUUUUGAAGUUCCCAAGGUUCGACCUUGGGAAUUCUAAAGGUCGAACCUUUAAUCAAAAAUUUAAAUCGGGGAGGAAGGCGAGGAUGACGCCAGGUCAGCAUGUCCCUUGAUACCUUGGGCUACACGCAUAAUACAAUCGCCGCCACAACGCGUUGCGACGGGGUAACCCCGAGCUAAUCGUAAGAAAAGCGGCGUCAGUUCGGAUUGGGGGCUGCAACUCGACCCCAUGAAGUUGGAAUUGCUAGUAAUCGCGGGUCAGCCAUACCGCGGUGAAUACGUUCUCAAGUCUUGUACUCACCGCCCGUCACGCCAGGGAAGUUGGGAGUACCCGAAGUCCCAGCCCCAGUUUU